This 330-nucleotide ribosomal RNA is filed under the name Triticum aestivum (bread wheat). Its description in RNAcentral is "partial small subunit ribosomal RNA". Lineage: Eukaryota; Viridiplantae; Streptophyta; Magnoliopsida; Poales; Poaceae. The record is from RNAcentral.
AUGACGAAGGACGGCGAGCCUUCGGCGAAAAUCACCGGAGAGGUGCGCUACAUAGAGGUCGAUUUCUGCAAGGGGACUGAAAACCUACCCGAAUUUGGCUGGGGUAAACCUCUAUCCUCUCCUGAUGCUGCUUUCAAUGGCACUGACAAAAGUGACCGUUGUUGCCACUUACUGAACCCUGCGAGAAGAGUUUGCUCUGAUGGAUAUGACUAUGGUCGUAGAUUUCUUGUUUGUCCUCGCGAGGGUUAUGAUACAUGUGCUUAUCUGAAGUGGGUGGACAAAGAAUGGCAGGGGAGGCCUAGGCAGGUGAUUGGCAAACUUGCUGAAUAG